AGAAAGUUAAUAAGGGCGCACGGGGGAUGCCUUGGCUCUCAGAGGCGAUGAAGGACGUGAUAAGCUGCGAAAAGUAUCGGGGAGUGGCAAAUACGCAUUGAUCCGGUAAUGUCCGAAUGGGGAAACCCGGCAGGUUGAAGGCCUGUCAUAUCGAAAGAUAAGCAAACGCGGUGAACUGAAACAUCUAAGUAGCCGUAGGAGAAGAAAACAAUAGUGAUUCCCCAAGUAGUGGCGAGCGAACGGGGAGCAGCCCAAACCAAGGUUGUUACGGCAAACUUGGGGUUGUAGGACUGUAAUGUGGACUAUAAAUAGGUAGCUGAAUUGAUCUGGAAAGGUUAACCAAAGGGGGUGAAAGUCCUGUAAGCGAAAUCUAUUUAUUACCUAACAGUAUCCUGAGUACCGCGGGACCGGAGAAAUCCUGUGGGAAACAAGCGGCACCAUCCGCUAAGGCUAAAUACUCCUGAGAGACCGAUAGUGAACCAGUACUGUGAAGGAAAGGUGAAAAGAACCCCGAACAGGGGAGUGAAAUAGAACCUGAAACCGUGCGCUUACAAGCGGUCGGAGUCCUGUAACAGGGAUGACGGCGUGCCUUUUGCAUAAUGAGCCUACGAGUUACUUUUACUAGCAAGGUUAAGGGCAAAGAUGUCCGCAGCCGAAGCGAAAGCGAGUCUGAAUAGGGCGCUUAGUUAGUAGGAGUAGACGCGAAACUUUGUGAUCUACCCAUGACCAGGUUGAAGCUUCGGUAAAACGAAGUGGAGGACCGAACCAGUUGACGUUGAAAAGUCUUUGGAUGAGUUGUGGGUAGGGGUGAAAGGCUAAUCAAACUGAGAGAUAGCUCGUACUCCCCGAAAUGCCUUUAGGGGCAGCCUCAGGGUCGAGUGUCAUAGAGGUAGAGCUACUGAUUGGAUGCGGGGGCUUCACCGCCUGCCAAAUCCUGACAAACUCCGAAUGCUAUGACAUAUACCUGGGAGUGAGGCUACGGGUGCUAAGGUCCGUGGCCGAGAGGGAAAGAACCCAGACCAUCAGCUAAGGUCCCAAAAUGUAUGUUAAGUUGAAAUAACGAGGUUCGAUUGCAUUGACAGCUAGGAUGUUGGCUUGGAAGCAGCCAUUCAUUUAAAGAGUGCGUAACAGCUCACUAGUCGAGCGAUUGAGCAUGGAUAAUAAUCGGGCAUAAAACAUACUACCGAAGCUAUGGAUUGUAUUUAUACACUGGUAGGGGAGCAUUCCGAUCUGCGUAGAAGGUGAAUCGUAAGGUUUGCUGGAGCGUUCGGAAAAGCAAAUGUAGGCAUAAGUAACGAUAAUGCGGGUGGGAAACCCGCACACCGGAAGACCAAGGGUUCCUGAUCAACGCUAAUCGGAUCAGGGUUAGUCGGGUCCUAAGGCGUAGCCGAAAGGCGAAGUCGAUGGACAAAUGGUUAAUAUUCCAUUACUAGCAUAUACUGCGAUGGAGGGACGAAGGAGUGAAAGAUCUGCGUACUUACGGAAUAGUACGUUAAAGGGUGUAGGUAUAGGGGGUACAGGCAAAUCCGUACCUUUUGCUAAAGCCCGAUAGUACCGCGAGUCUUCGGAUGAGUGGAUAAUGAUCCUAAUCAGACUUCCGAGAAAAACUUCUAAGCUUCAGGUAUAUGCUACCCGUACCGUAAACCGACACAGGUGGUCGAGGAGAAUAUCCAAAGGUGCUCGAGUGAUUCACAGCUAAGGAACUAGGCAAAUUAACCCUGUAACUUCGGGAGAAAGGGUCCCUACGGGAGUAGGGCGCAGAGAAAUGGCUCAGGCGACUGUUUAACAAAAACACAUGGCUUUGCAAAAUUGAAAGAUGACGUAUAAGGCCUGACACCUGCCCGGUGCUGGAAGGUUAAGAGGAGGAGUUAGUCGCAAGGCGAAGCCCUGAAUUGAAGCCCCAGUAAACGGCGGCCGUAACUAUAACGGUCCUAAGGUAGCGAAAUUCCUUGUCGGGUAAGUUCCGACCUGCACGAAUGGUGUAACGAUCUGAGCACUGUCUCAGCUGUGAGCUCGGUGAAAUUGAAGUAACGGUGAAGAUGCCGUUUACCCGCAACGGGACGGAAAGACCCCGUGAACCUUCACUACAACUUAACAUUGACUUUGAAUAAAUGAUGUGUAGGAUAGGUGGGAGACAAUGAAGCAUGGGCGCUAGCUUGUGUGGAGUCAACGUUGAAAUACCACCCUUUGUUUAUUUGAAGUCUAAUCUGAUAAGAUCAGAGACAGUGUUUGGUGGGUAGUUUGACUGGGGUGGUCGCCUCCAAAAGAGUAACGGAGGCUUUCAAAGGUACCCUCAGCACGCUUGGUAACCGUGCGUAGAGUGCAAAGGCAUAAGGGUGCUUGACUGUGAGACCUACAAGUCGAGCAGGUACGAAAGUAGGACUUAGUGAUCCGGUGGUUCCGUAUGGAAGGGCCAUCGCUCAAAGGAUAAAAGGUACUCCGGGGAUAACAGGCUGAUCACUCCCAAGAGCUCAUAUCGACGGAGUGGUUUGGCACCUCGAUGUCGGCUCGUCACAUCCUGGGGCUGGAGAAGGUCCCAAGGGUUCGGCUGUUCGCCGAUUAAAGUGGCACGCGAGCUGGGUUCAGAACGUCGCGAGACAGUUCGGUCCCUAUCUGUUGUGGGCGUUAGAAAUUUGAGAGGAGCUGACUCUAGUACGAGAGGACCGAGUCGGACGAACCGCUGGUGUACCUGUUGUUGUGCCAACGGCAUCGCAGGGUAGCUACGUUCGGAUGAGAUAAGUGCUGAAAGCAUCUAAGUACGAAACUCGCCUCAAGAUGAGAUUUCUUUUAAGGGUCGUUAAAGACGAUGACGUUGAUAGGCUGCAGAUGUAAAAUCAGAGAUGGUUGUAGUCGAGCAGUACUAAUUACCCGUAGACUUUUCAU
Molecule: ribosomal RNA, 2883 nt
Filed under: Bacteroidota bacterium
Lineage: Bacteria; Pseudomonadati; Bacteroidota
Description: Bacteroidetes bacterium (freshwater metagenome) 23S ribosomal RNA
Rfam family: Bacterial large subunit ribosomal RNA
Source: RNAcentral